This 238-nucleotide long non-coding RNA is filed under the name Elaeis guineensis (African oil palm). RNAcentral describes it as "long non-coding RNA (EGUI_LNC050286)". Lineage: Eukaryota; Viridiplantae; Streptophyta; Magnoliopsida; Arecales; Arecaceae. The record is from RNAcentral.
GGGGUGCUCCGGCAAGAUCCUUCGAUGCUCAAGUCAGUACUCUGCUUCAACAGAAAUGGAGUGCUCGAGCGAAAAUUUUGGCAGAAUUUCGAGAUAGAGUUACCAGCUUAGAAAAGAACGUAUCUGGGGGUCCUUAUUUAUAAACGAAGGGCAUAACUGACUGACAGCGAUAUCUGUAACCGUCUGGUAGUGGACCGCUCAGAACCGUGUGGAGUUUGUUACAGAGAGUAGUGGCGUC